RNAcentral lists this ribosomal RNA (310 nucleotides) under uncultured Litorivicinus sp. RNAcentral describes it as "bacterial SSU rRNA". It matches the Rfam family "Bacterial small subunit ribosomal RNA", at positions 30 to 334 of the family's 1533-position model. The record is from RNAcentral. Lineage: Bacteria; Pseudomonadati; Pseudomonadota; Gammaproteobacteria; Oceanospirillales; Litorivicinaceae.
AUUGAACGCUGGCGGCAGGCCUAACACAUGCAAGUCGAACGGAAACGAAGCUAGCUUGCUAGCAGGCGUCGAGUGGCGGACGGGUGAGUAACGCGUGGGUAUUUACCAAGUAGUGGGGGAUAAGCUGGGGAAACCCAGUCUAAUACCGCAUACGCUCUACGGAGGAAAGGGGCCCUCUUCUUGAAAGGUCUCGCUAUUUGAUGAGCCCGCGUCGGAUUAGCUUGUUGGUGAGGUAAAGGCUCACCAAGGCGACGAUCCGUAGCUGGUCUGAGAGGAUGAUCAGCCACACUGGGACUGAGACACGGCCCAG